CCCUUAGAUGUUCUGGGCCGCACGCGCGCUACACUGAUGCAUUCAACGAGUUUCUUCCUGGUCCGAGAGGAAUGGGUAACCUUUUGAAAGUGCAUCGUGAUAGGGAUAGACUAUUGCAAUUAUUGGUCUUCAACGAGGAAUUCCUAGUAGACGUGUUCAUCAGACUGCAUCGAUUACGUCCCUGCCCUUUGUACACACCGCCCGUCGCUCCUACCGAUUGAAUGCUCAGGUGAGCCAUUCGGACUUUCAUCAUGCUGGUUUCCAGUUUUGAUGAAGGAAAGUCUUGCGAACCUUAUCAUUUAGAGGAAGGAGAAGUCGUAACA
This 323-nucleotide ribosomal RNA is filed under the name uncultured eukaryote. RNAcentral describes it as "partial 18S ribosomal RNA". It matches the Rfam family "Eukaryotic small subunit ribosomal RNA", at positions 1470 to 1796 of the family's 1831-position model. The record is from RNAcentral.